This 263-nucleotide unclassified non-coding RNA is filed under the name Hevea brasiliensis (rubber tree). Lineage: Eukaryota; Viridiplantae; Streptophyta; Magnoliopsida; Malpighiales; Euphorbiaceae. The record is from RNAcentral.
GGGAAAUGCUAUAAAAGGAAAGCCUACUGCAAGUUCUUUAUUUUUAUUUUUUUUUCAAUGGUUAUCCUCUUUUUAUGUUUUUGGUUUUAGCCAUGUUAUAGCAAUGGAGGCCAUAAUAAUGUAUUAAAGUUGAUGAAAGAGAGCAAUAGUUUUCACUUUUCACAUAGAUGAUUAUGGUGCCCCUUGUAUAAAAGCUUCCCUAACCAGAAGUCCUUGCUACUGAUUCUGUCUGCUGUUCAUUUAGUGGGAUUGUGAAUGUAAAU